GCGCCAAUAGCUCAGCUGGAUAGAGCAACUGCCUUCUAAGCAGUAGGUCUGUGGUUCGAGCCCACAUUGGCGCA
This 74-nucleotide transfer RNA is filed under the name Spirochaetia bacterium. Its description in RNAcentral is "tRNA-Arg". It matches the Rfam family "tRNA". Rfam says of the family: Transfer RNA (tRNA) molecules are approximately 80 nucleotides in length. Their secondary structure includes four short double-helical elements and three loops (D, anti-codon, and T loops). The record is from RNAcentral. Lineage: Bacteria; Pseudomonadati; Spirochaetota; Spirochaetia.